AGAAUUAAUGGUUAAAGGAUUCAAAAAGAAAUCUGAUAUGUCAAAGAAUGAAAUAAGUCAACUGAGAGAAGAGAUGGAAAGAACAAGAAGGAAACCCUCACUGUUUGUUCAAAUCCUUGACACAGUUGUUUGAGCCUACUCACCACAGACCCACAGGACAGUUUGGUGAAGCAAACCUGAACUCUCAUCAGGACAAAGUUUUAGAGAAAGUGGAAGCCCAACCUGGCAAGCAUCUAAGUUAGUGACUUUGGAAGCUGUCAGUCCUCAGGUCAAUUAGCCAAUUCUUCACCGUUAAUAUAGAAAAUAUUACUCCUAGAGAAAGUACCCAAGGAGCUAAAGGG
This is a non-coding RNA of Mus caroli (Ryukyu mouse), 341 nucleotides long. The record is from RefSeq and is a predicted model, not a curated record. Lineage: Eukaryota; Metazoa; Chordata; Mammalia; Rodentia; Muridae.